This 254-nucleotide ribosomal RNA is filed under the name uncultured bacterium. RNAcentral describes it as "partial 16S ribosomal RNA". It matches the Rfam family "Bacterial small subunit ribosomal RNA", at positions 1238 to 1500 of the family's 1533-position model. The record is from RNAcentral.
UACAGAGGGCAGCCAAGUCGUGAGGCGGAGCUAAUCCCUUAAAGCCAUUCUCAGUUCGGAUUGUAGGCUGAAACUCGCCUACAUGAAGCUGGAGUUACUAGUAAUCGCAGAUCAGAAUGCUGCGGUGAAUGCGUUCCCGGGUCUUGUACACACCGCCCGUCAAGCCAUGGGAGCCGGGGGUACCUGAAGUGCGUAACCGCAAGGAGCGCCCUAGGGUAAAACUGGUGACUGGGGCUAAGUCGUAACAAGGUAGC